This 459-nucleotide ribosomal RNA is filed under the name uncultured bacterium. RNAcentral's name for it is "partial 16S ribosomal RNA". It matches the Rfam family "Bacterial small subunit ribosomal RNA", at positions 338 to 795 of the family's 1533-position model. The record is from RNAcentral.
CCUACGGGAGGCAGCAGUGAGGAAUAUUGGUCAAUGGCCGAGAGGCUGAACCAGCCAAGUCGCGUGAGGGAAGACUGCCCUAUGGAUUGUAAACCUCUUUUGUCAGGGAGCAAAGUCACCCACGUGUGGGUGUUGGAGAGUACCUGAAGAAUAAGCAUCGGCUAACUCCGUGCCAGCAGCCGCGGUAAUACGGAGGAUGCGAGCGUUAUCCGGAUUUAUUGGGUUUAAAGGGUGCGUAGGCGGGUUAUCAAGUCAGCGGUAAAAUCGUGGAGCUCAACUCCAUCCAGCCGUUGAAACUGAUGGUCUUGAGUGGGCGAGAAGUAUGCGGAAGGCGUGGUGUAGCGGUGAAAUGCAUAGAUAUCACGCAGAACUCCGAUUGCGAAGGCAGCAUACCGGCGCCCGACUGACGCUGAAGCACGAAAGCGUGGGUAUCGAACAGGAUUAGAUACCCUUGUAGUC